RNAcentral lists this ribosomal RNA (253 nucleotides) under uncultured bacterium. RNAcentral's name for it is "partial 16S ribosomal RNA". It matches the Rfam family "Bacterial small subunit ribosomal RNA", at positions 524 to 776 of the family's 1533-position model. The record is from RNAcentral.
UACGGGGGGGGCAAGCGUUGUUCGGAAUUACUGGGCGUAAAGGGCUCGUAGGCGGCCAACUAAGUCGGAUGUGAAAUCCCCAGGCUUAACCUGGGAACUGCAUCCGAUACUGGAUGGCUUGAAUCCGGGAGAGGGAUGCAGAAUUCCAGGUGUAGCGGUGAAAUGCGUAGAGAUCGUAAGGAAGACCAGUGGCGAAGGCGGGUCUCUGGACAGUUCCUGACACUGAGGCACGAAGGCCAGGGGAGCAAACGGG